UGCCGGGUACCUUCCGCAUGCUUGGUAUUCUCCCCGCGGGGCUCUGACCGCUGCCGCUCUCAGGCACCUGUCUUUCCUCUCCGUCCCAGAAUGGAGCCAAGACAAGGGAAUAAACGAAAUUCAAUAGUACACGGAGAUCGGGUGUCUGGGCAGCGUCUUGGAAAAACUAUCCACUACAGGUCAAGUGAAGUUCUUCUGCUGAUAUGUUCUGCUACUGCAUAAGAGACGGAAUCUAUGUUGCCUCGACUGGUCCUGAACUCCUGGGCUAAAGCGAUCCUUCUGCCUUGGCCUCCCAAAGUGCGAGGAUUAUAGGUCAAUCAACAACACAGAAGACAACUUCUGCAACCCUAUCGGGAGAGGAGGGGUUCUCUCCACCACCAGAUUAUUCCUGACUAGUGAUAUAAAUAAAAUCUUUCCUGGUCCAGAAUUGGUGUUGAGCCUCUCAACAAAUCUUUGAGCCCUGAUUAUAUAUAAGGUAUUGUGCCAGGUGCAGUGGCUCACGCCUGUAAUCCCAGCACUUUGGGAGGCUGAGGUGGGCGGAUCACCUGAGGUCGGGAGUUCGAGACCAGCCUGACCAACAUGGAGAAACCCCGUCUCUACUAAAAAUACAAAAUUAGCUAGGCAUGUUGCCACGUGCCUGUAACCCCAGCUACUCGGGAGGCUGAGGCAGGAGAAUCAACUGAACCUGGGAGAUGGAGGUUGUGGUGAGCUGAGAUUACACCAUUGCACUCCAGCCUGGGCAACAAGAGCAAAACUCCAUUUCAAAAAAAAGAAGUAUUGUGCUAGAUAAAUAAAACAACAAAAAUGUGUAUGUAAAGUUUUUACUCUAAGAUGAAGGUUCUCAAACGUCAGUUUUCAUCACAGUCCCCUGGAAGAAUUCUCAAAACACAGAAUGCUUGCCAAGUCAAUCCUAAGCCAAAAGAACAAAGCUGGAGGCAUCACACUACCUGACUUCAAACUAUACUACAAGGAUGCAGUAACCAAAACAGCAUGGUACUGGUACCAAAACAGAGAUAUAGACCAAUGGAACAGAACAGAGCCCUCAGAAAUAAUGCCGCUUAUCUACAACCAUCUGAUCUUUGACAAACCUGACAAAAACAAGAAAUGGGGAAAGGAUUCCCUAUUUAAUAAAUGGUGCUGGGAAAACUGGCUAGCCAUAUGCAGAAAGCUGAAACUGGAUCCCUUCCUUACACCUUAUGCUAAAAUUAAUUCAAGAUGGAUUAAAGACUUAAAUGUUAGACCUAAAACCAUAAAAACCGUAGAAUAAAACCUAGGCAAUACCAUUCAGGACAUAGGCAUGGGCAAGGACUUCAUGUUUAAAACACCAAAAGCCAUGGCAACAGAAGCCAAAAUUGACAAAUAGGAUCUAAUUAAACUAAAGAGCUUCUGCACAGCAAAAGAAACUACCAUCAGAGUGAACAGGCAACCUACAGAAUGGGAGAAAAUUUUUGCAAUCUACUCAUCUGACAAAGGGCUAGUAUCCAGAAUCUACAAUGAACUCAAACAAAUUUACAAGAAAAAAACAACCCCAUCAAAAAGUGGGCAAACGAUAUGAACAGACACUUCUCAAAAGACGACAUUUAUGCUGCCAAAAGACACAUGAAAAAAUGCUCAUCAUCACUGGCCAUCAGAGAAAUGCAAAUCAAAACCACAAUGAGAUACCAUCUCACACCAGUUAGAAUGGCGAUCAUUAAAAAGUCAGGAAACAACAGGUGCUGGAGAGGAUGUGGAGAAACAGGAACACUUUUACACUGUUAGUGGGACUGUAAACUAGUUCAACCAUUGUGGAAGUCAGUGUGGCGAUUCCUCAGGGAUCUAGAACUAGAAAUACCAUUUGACCCAGCCAUCCCAUUACUGGGUAUAUACCCAAAGGAUUAUAAAUCAUGCUGCUAUAAAGACACAUGCACACGUAUGUUUAUUGUGGCACUAUUCACAAUAGCAAAGACUUGGAACCAACCCAAAUGUCCAAUAAUGAUAGACUGGAUUAAGAAAAUGUGGCACAUAUACACCAUGGAAUACUAUUCAGCCAUAAAAAAGGAUGAGUUCAUGUCCUUUGUAGGGACAUGGAUGAAGCCGGAAACCAUCAUUCUCAGCAAACUAUCGCAAGGACAAAAAACCAAACACCGCGUGUUCUCACUCAUAGGUAGGAACUGAACAAUGAGAACACAUGGACACAGGAAGGGGAACAUCACACGCCGGGGCCUGUUGUGGGGUGGGGGGAGCGGGGAGGGAUAGCAUUAGGAGAUAUACCUAAUGUUAAAUGACGAGUUACUGGGUGCAGCACACCAACAUGGCACAUGUAUACAUAUGUAACUAACCUGCACGUUGUGCACAUGUACCCUAAAACUUAAAGUAUAAUAAAGAAAAAAAAAACACAGAAUGCUGAGCCUUACUUCCAGAGUUUCUGAUUUAUGAAGUCUGAAUGGCGCCUGAGAAUGUGCAUUUCUAACAAGUUAGUAAUGCACCAACUAGGUGUUACCAAUGAUGAUAAUCUGGGGACCACUCUGAGCCCCUCUGCUCUAAGAAGAUACUUAACGUGUUCUUCAAAAAUGCCCAAAGAAGUAAAAGAGCAACGCUCAAAACUAGUUUGUUACAUACUUUUCUCUUUAAAAAACCUACCCAAAUGCUUUACAAAUACAGGAAAUAUAUCCACCUCCUAAGACAUUAAUACACCACAUACUUAGAACUUAGUAAUUAUAAAAUACACUAACUACACUGACUAGACUAUUCAAUGGUUGACCUGUGGUAUAUAUCCACAAUCAUCAAUAGAACUUUUUUCCCCCAAAUAUAGAAGGCCAAAUCCCAACCCUGGAAAUUCAAAUUAAAGGCUUGGCACAUCUGUUUAAAAAAUAAUAUCAACAUAAUCCUGAUGAGCACUCUUAGCUGUUUAAAGUCUAUGUUUCAUUUCUGAGUGCUUGUAAAAUUUACAGAUCCCUGAGUUCCAUCCCAAAAUUACCAAAUCAGAAUCUCUGGCGAAUGGGUCCCUGGGAAUCCAUAGAGCAACUAGACACUCAGGUGAUUUAACCACAGAAGUUUGAGAAACAUUAGCAGGUCUUAAAGCAAAAGCU
This 3068-nucleotide long non-coding RNA is filed under the name Homo sapiens (human). RNAcentral's name for it is "HSALNT0377444". Lineage: Eukaryota; Metazoa; Chordata; Mammalia; Primates; Hominidae. The record is from RNAcentral.